MicroRNA precursor from Sorghum bicolor (sorghum), 110 nucleotides. It matches the Rfam family "MIR5565 microRNA precursor family". The record is from Rfam. NCBI's taxonomy places the organism in Eukaryota, Viridiplantae, Streptophyta, Magnoliopsida, Poales, Poaceae.
GUACUCGUAUCCACUCCCGAUUCAUAUGUAUUGGAGUGGAUUGGGAUAGAUCUUAAACUAUUUUCUACCUCAAUCCACUACAACAUAUAUGAAUUGAGGUGGAUACGAGU